This 301-nucleotide ribosomal RNA is filed under the name uncultured bacterium. RNAcentral's name for it is "partial 16S ribosomal RNA". It matches the Rfam family "Bacterial small subunit ribosomal RNA", at positions 509 to 808 of the family's 1533-position model. The record is from RNAcentral.
CAGUAGCCGCGUAAUACGAAGGGGGCUAGCGUUGCUCGGAAUGACUGGGCGUAAAGGGCGCGUAGGCGGUUUUCCAAGUUAGAUGUGAAAUUCCUGGGCUCAACCUGGGGGCUGCAUUUGAUACUGGGAGGCUUGAGUAUGGAAGAGGGUCGUGGAAUUCCCAGUGUAGAGGUGAAAUUCGUAGAUAUUGGGAAGAACACCGGUGGCGAAGGCGGCGACCUGGUCCAUAACUGACGCUGAGGCGCGAAAGCGUGGGGAGCAAACAGGAUUAGAGACCCCGGUAGUCCCUGUCUCUUAUACA